UUUAAAGUCAUAAAAUUUGGACUAAUUUACUCCCCAAUCAUUCAUAUAAACAAUAAAAUGAUUAAUCAGAGUUUAUUAACUAGAGUUUAGUGUUUAUUAUUUAGGGUUGAGAGUUUAUUAAUUAGAGUUUAACGUUUACAACUUAGGGUUUAAAGUUUAUUAACUAGGAUUUAGAGUUUAAUAUUUAUGAUUUAGGGUUUAUUAUUUAGGAUUUAUUUAGUAGGUGUGGG
This 230-nucleotide long non-coding RNA is filed under the name Panax ginseng (ginseng). Its description in RNAcentral is "long non-coding RNA (PGIN_LNC008406)". The record is from RNAcentral. Lineage: Eukaryota; Viridiplantae; Streptophyta; Magnoliopsida; Apiales; Araliaceae.